This 72-nucleotide transfer RNA is filed under the name Camelus bactrianus (Bactrian camel). It matches the Rfam family "tRNA". Rfam says of the family: Transfer RNA (tRNA) molecules are approximately 80 nucleotides in length. The record is from Rfam by way of RNAcentral. RNAcentral also lists the same sequence under 1 other name. Lineage: Eukaryota; Metazoa; Chordata; Mammalia; Artiodactyla; Camelidae.
GAGGGUAUAGCUCAGUGGUAGAGUGCAUGCUUGGUAUGCAUGAGGUCCUGGGUUCAGUCCCCAGUCCCUCCA